This 259-nucleotide ribosomal RNA is filed under the name uncultured Staphylococcus sp. RNAcentral's name for it is "partial 16S ribosomal RNA". It matches the Rfam family "Bacterial small subunit ribosomal RNA", at positions 103 to 355 of the family's 1533-position model. The record is from RNAcentral. Lineage: Bacteria; Bacillati; Bacillota; Bacilli; Caryophanales; Staphylococcaceae.
CGGGUGAGUAACACGUGGAUAACCUACCUAUAAGACUGGGAUAACUUCGGGAAACCGGAGCUAAUACUGGAUAAUAUAUUGAACCGCAUGGUUCAAUAGUGAAAGACGGUUUUGCUGUCACUUAUAGAUGGAUCCGCGCCGCAUUAGCUAGUUGGUAAGGUAACGGCUUACCAAGGCAACGAUGCGUAGCCGACCUGAGAGGGUGAUCGGCCACACUGGAACUGAGACACGGUCCAGACUCCUACGGGAGGCAGCAGCA